This 305-nucleotide ribosomal RNA is filed under the name uncultured bacterium. Its description in RNAcentral is "bacterial SSU rRNA". It matches the Rfam family "Bacterial small subunit ribosomal RNA", at positions 333 to 630 of the family's 1533-position model. The record is from RNAcentral.
UUACCCCUACGGGACGCAGCAGUAGGGAAUCUUCGGCAAUGGGCGAAAGUCUGACCGAGCAACGCCGCGUGAGUGAAGAAGGUUUUCGGAUCGUAAAACUCUGUUGGUAGAGAGGAACGUUGGUGAGAGUGGAAAGCUCAUCAAGUGACGGUAACUACCCAGAAAGGGACGGCUAACUACGUGCCAGCAGCCGCGGUAAUACGUAGGUCCCGAGCGUUGUCCGGAUUUAUUGGGCGUAAAGCGAGCGCAGGUGGUUUAUUAAGUCUGUUGUAAAAGGCAGUGGCUAAACCAUUGUAUGCAUUGGA